Molecule: ribosomal RNA, 484 nt
Filed under: uncultured bacterium
Lineage: Bacteria
Description: partial 16S ribosomal RNA
Rfam family: Bacterial small subunit ribosomal RNA
Source: RNAcentral
AUUGAACGCUGGCGGCAGGCCUAACACAUGCAAGUCGAGCGGAUGAAGGGAGCUUGCUCCUGGAUUCAGCGGCGGACGGGUGAGUAAUGCCUAGGAAUCUGCCUGGUAGUGGGGGAUAACGUCCGGAAACGGGCGCUAAUACCGCAUACGUCCUGAGGGAGAAAGUGGGGGAUCUUCGGACCUCACGCUAUCAGAUGAGCCUAGGUCGGAUUAGCUAGUUGGUGGGGUAAAGGCCUACCAAGGCGACGAUCCGUAACUGGUCUGAGAGGAUGAUCAGUCACAUUGGAAGUGAGACACGCUCCAGACUCCUACGGGAGGCAGCAGUGGGGAAUAUUGGACAAUGGGCGAGAGCCUGAUACAGCCAUGCCGCGUGUGUGAAGAAGGUCUUGCGAGUGUAAAGCACUUUAAGUUGGGAGGAAGGGCAGUAAGUUAAUACCUUGCUGUUUUGACGUUACCAACAGAAUAAGCACCGGCUAACUUCGUG